CAAAUCCCCAAAAACGUAGUCCCAGUUCGGACUGCAGUCUGCAACUCGACUGCACGAAGUCGGAAUUGCUAGUAAUCGCGGAUCAGCAUGUCGCGGUGAAUGCGUUCCCGGGCCUUGUACACACCGCCCGUCACACCACGGAAGUUGGGGGGACCCGAAGCCGGUGGCCUAACCGAAAGGGGGGAGCCGUCGAAGGUAAAACCAAUGACUGGGGUGAAGUCGUAACAAGGUAGC
RNAcentral lists this ribosomal RNA (234 nucleotides) under uncultured bacterium. Its description in RNAcentral is "partial 16S ribosomal RNA". It matches the Rfam family "Bacterial small subunit ribosomal RNA", at positions 1268 to 1500 of the family's 1533-position model. The record is from RNAcentral.